GCCUUCAGGUUCGGGACAACCACUGGAAACGGUGGCUAAUACCGAAUGUGCAGCAAUGUGAAAAAUUUAUUGCCUGGAGAUGAGCUCGCGUCUGAUUAGCUAGUAGGUGUGGUAAGAGCGCACCUAGGCGACGAUCAGUAGCUGGUCUGAGAGGAUGAUCAGCCACACUGGGACUGAGACACGGCCCAGACUCCUACGGGAGGCAGCAGUGGGGAAUUUUCCGCAAUGGGCGAAAGCCUGACGGAGCAAUACCGCGUGAGGGAGGAAGGCUCUUGGGUUGUAAACCUCUUUUCUCAGGGAAGAAAAAAAUGACGGUACCUGAGGAAUAAGCAUCGGCUAACUCCGUGCCAGCAGCCGCGGUAAUACGGAGGAUGCAAGCGUUAUCCGGAAUGAUUGGGCGUAAAGCGUCCGCAGGUGGCUGCGUAAGUCUGCUGUUAAAGAAUCUGGCUCAACCAGAUAAAGGCAGUGGAAACUACAUGGCUAGAGUGCGUUCGGGGCAGAGGGAAUUCCUGGUGUAGCGGUGAAAUGCGUAGAGAUCAGGAAGAACACCGGUGGCGAAAGCGCUCUGCUAGGCCGCAACUGACACUGAGGGACGAAAGCUAGGGGAGCGAAUGGGAUUAGAUACCCCAGUAG
RNAcentral lists this ribosomal RNA (633 nucleotides) under uncultured cyanobacterium. RNAcentral describes it as "bacterial SSU rRNA". It matches the Rfam family "Bacterial small subunit ribosomal RNA", at positions 128 to 793 of the family's 1533-position model. The record is from RNAcentral. Lineage: Bacteria; Bacillati; Cyanobacteriota.